This 785-nucleotide unclassified non-coding RNA is filed under the name Hevea brasiliensis (rubber tree). The record is from RNAcentral. Lineage: Eukaryota; Viridiplantae; Streptophyta; Magnoliopsida; Malpighiales; Euphorbiaceae.
GCUACCCAGAAAGCCUCUUUAGGUAAAGAGAGGAAGCACAGAAAUCUGAGAUUUUGUGAGCAAACACCGCAAACCCAAACAGCAGGCAAAACCCCAGAAAAGCUUUUAAGGAGGAGAAGAUGAAGAAGAUCAGCCAAAAAAGGAAGGUAGAUAAGGAAAUCUGAGGAUUCCUAUCAAGACCCAGAAAGCCCAAUAAGAAUUUAUGGAGAUAAGAGUGGUUGUUGAUUGAUCCAGAGAAAACAAGGAAAACCAUAAGAAAUGCUGUUCAAUUCCAUUUAAGAAAAGAGCCAAAGGGAGAUUUGGAAAUCUUACCAAAUAGGAAAAAAACCCAAAAUCUAAUGUUAUUUAUGUCUUGGUGAUUGAUUGAUUCUAUUUCUAGGUUAUCUUGUUAGUCACAACCAAGGCAGUAAGCACCCACACACACCACCUUUCCUUAUUCAUCUCUCUCUCCCUCUCUUUCACCUUGAAUAAAAAAGCUCUUGGAAGCGGAAGCCCACCACCCAUUUAAAGAAACAAAAUUUUACCCAUGUAUCACCUUAUUAUUAAGAAAACCUCAUCCUUGCUUGUUUUGGUAAAACCCACGACAAACUCCAAACAGAGCAAAUUUAGAUGAAAAAGAAAGCAUUUUAAAAAAUAAAAGAAAAAGAAAAAUCGUUACUGUUAAGAGAGCAAGAAACUUGGAUGGAAGGGAAAGUCCAGGAAAGUAAGAGAAACGAAAAGCGUUUUUUUUAUUUAUUUACUUUUUUUAGCAGUGGGCUUCUUCUCGAUGAGCGACAAAAAUUUUU